Orcinus orca (killer whale) is the source of this 506-nucleotide long non-coding RNA. RefSeq lists it as uncharacterized. The transcript is spliced from 3 exons. Lineage: Eukaryota; Metazoa; Chordata; Mammalia; Artiodactyla; Delphinidae. The record is from RefSeq and is a predicted model, not a curated record.
ACUCUCCUGAACGCGCUCGAAGUACACACACAAUGCCCCUUCUAUUGACGUACACACACUACACCCUAAAAUUCACAGCCCCAGUCGGUCCCACAAGUUUGAAACAGGAGGAAGGAGAAAAAGAGAAGGAUUGCGGAAGAAACAACGUCCAUCUCUCUCACACAUCACUGUGGUCCUUGCUUCCAGGCAGCUCACUCGUCCACCAAAUGUUAAAAUCAGAUUUCUCCUCUCAUCUCAGCAAAGUGGCCAGCGGCACAAGAGGCGGACAAGAGGCUUACUCUUUUUAUUGUGAGGAAUGGGAUUUUUUUUUUUCUUGAAUGAGAAAAGAAUAAAUUUCAGUUACUCGGAAGGAUAGGAACAGAUCAGAUGCCAGAAGAGAAUAGCUAAUACCUCACGAGGAUAACACGCCUGGAGACCCACAGUCUGGAGUGGUUGUGACUGAAAUACAGAGACACCUGACAGAAAUGAUGUUCCAUCACACUGGCUUUCUCUCCUGUCUGGGCCUG